GACGUAGGGCGCGAGCGUUGUCCGGAUUUAUUGGGCGUAAAGAGCUCGUAGGCGGCUCGUUGCGUCAACCGUGAAAACCCGGGGCUUAACUUCGGGCUUGCGGUUGAUACGGGCGGGCUGGAGUUCGGUAGGGGAGACUGGAAUUCCUGGUGUAGCGGUGAAAUGCGCAGAUAUCGGGAGGAACACCAGUGGCGAAGGCGACUUCCUGGCCUGUUCUUGACGCUGAGGCGCGAAAGCUAGGGGAGCAAACGGG
This 253-nucleotide ribosomal RNA is filed under the name uncultured bacterium. Its description in RNAcentral is "partial 16S ribosomal RNA". It matches the Rfam family "Bacterial small subunit ribosomal RNA", at positions 524 to 776 of the family's 1533-position model. The record is from RNAcentral.